GACGAACGCUGGCGGCGUGCUUAACACAUGCAAGUCGAGCGGAAAGGCCCUUCGGGGUACUCGAGCGGCGAACGGGUGAGUAACACGUGAGUAACCUGCCCCAGACUUUGGGAUAACCCUCGGAAACGGGGGCCAAUACCGGAUACGACACAGCUUCGCAUGGGGUCCGUGUGGAAAGUUUUUCGGUUUGGGAUGGGCUCGCGGCCUAUCAGCUUGUUGGUGGGGUGAUGGCCUACCAAGGCGACGACGGGUAGCCGGCCUGAGAGGGCGACCGGCCACACUGGGACUGAGACACGGCCCAGACUCCUACGGGAGGCAGCAGUGGGGAAUAUUGCACAAUGGGCGGAAGCCUGAUGCAGCGACGCCGCGUGAGGGAUGACGGCCUUCGGGUUGUAAACCUCUUUCAGCAGGGACGAAGCGUAAGUGACGGUACCUGCAGAAGAAGCGCCGGCCAACUACGUG
RNAcentral lists this ribosomal RNA (462 nucleotides) under uncultured bacterium. RNAcentral describes it as "partial 16S ribosomal RNA". It matches the Rfam family "Bacterial small subunit ribosomal RNA", at positions 28 to 507 of the family's 1533-position model. The record is from RNAcentral.